UUUCAUUUCUGUGCGCCUUAGUUCCUCAUCUACAAAACUAGGGUAAGAAUGAAAUUACUAUUACCCUAUUUCUACUGUUUUCUUUGGGGGAGCUUUGAAAAACCUUUUGAAGAAAGGGCAUUGUGUAAUGUAUGUGGGAGGAAGGCAUGAAGAAGAAGGUGACACACUUCUUUGCCUUGACAUUGGCCUUGGGGAGGGAAGGAGUAUUGUUAUGAGUUACUUAGCUUCUUAUCAGUUUUAAACCUCUGAUCUUCUCACCACCACCAUCUCACACAUACACACACAUCAUGGUAGUUUGAAGACAUGGCCACAAUUCUUUGAUACUCCCCACACUGAGAAUUGGGGAUCUAUGUUCUUUCCCCUUAAAUCUGGCCAGGCUUCUGACUGCUUUGACCAAUAGAGUACUGGUGACGACAGAGUAGAGGUGAUGCCAUGUGAUCUCUGAGCCUAAGUCAUAAAAUACCAUGAAGCUUUUGCUUUGUUUGUGGAACACUCAUUCUUGGAGCUGAGCUGACAGGUAAGAAAUAAACCUCCUCUAAGGCCACCAUGCUAAGAGGAAGACAAAAUAAUAUGGAAAAGCCAUGGAUAGACACUCCAGCUAAUAGUCCCAGCUUAGUCCCGCCUUUGAGUCAUCCCAGCCUUGGUGUCAGACAUAUGUGUGAAGAAGCUUCCAGAUAGCUCCAGCUUCUGGCCAUUCAAGUUACUCUGAGCCAUUCAUGUCUUUCCAGCUGACACCUGAGACAUCAUGAAGCAGACACCUUGCUGUACACUGUCAAAUUCCUGCCCACAGAGUCACUGAACAUGGUAACAGUGGUUGCUUGCACUGCUGCGUUUGGGGUGGUCUGUCACACAGCCAUAGGUAACUAGAGCACAUCUCUUCCCUGAUCCCUGUCAGAUACCAGCAGAAAUGCAGGGUGAAUGGUUCAAGGACCAAUUUAAACAGGUAGUCUAAGUGAUGUUGAAUGAGGGGCGUGUUUCCCAGUGAAGGCUUCAUAAAGGGAUAUCUAACACUGCUGAGACAUCCCAACUUCCUGAAUAUAAAUCCAGGAGCUCUUGAAUGGGGUCCCCCCAUGAGCUGCUGUGGGCAACUCCCUUUGACACUCGUGGGGAGCGAGGCUAUUGAAGUCAGCCCUCGUGUUGCUCUACUAGCCAGCCCACUGUGCACUGUUCCCUUCUGUCCUCCCUCACUCCCUUCUCUUUUCCCUCCAUCUUUCCUCUUUUAUUGAGUGCCCAUUACAUGCCACACAUUAUUUUAGGUUCCGGGGUGUCAAAGCUGAGUGUAUAUUAACCACGUCUCUUAUUGUCUGUGUGCUGAUGCUUUGACACCUGGGGCCCUGCUGACUCUGGAGGGGCCGCCCCUCCCAGGGCCAGCUACUUCCCAGAGCAGUAAACACCUUGUUGGCUAGUGCACUUCUCAGGUAUAAACCCCCACCCUAAACACCUCCUUUAAGGAGCGCUUGCACUCUGGGCCACUAUCCUCCAGCCCUAAUCACCCCAAGGCCAGUUACCAGACAACCAGGGACAGCCCCUAUACCCCAGAGACCACCCACAUUAUUCAGCCUAGCCAGUCCUAAGCCUGAUUUGCCUCCCUCCCUCGUUCCUUCCUGAGGAACCCGUAAUAAAAUCUCUUGCCCAGUCUCCCCGCCCCCAGUGCUUCCCCACGUGGCCCCCAUAGUGUCGUGUGCCCUGCUUGGCAGCUGAGUAACUAGCCUUUCAAUGGCAAUUGACUCCUUGUCUAUUGGCCUUACCAUGCCUCAAAUUUUCUCUUCAUAUACUAAAUUUUAAGAUACAAUGACACCCAGUCCCUGCCCUAAAGGAACUUAAAAGUUAGUGGUAGUGGGAGCCUUAGCCCAGUAGGGCUGGCAGCAUUCUGUUUCGUGCUGUGCGCACUGCUUAACGCAAGUGUGGUCACCUGUGAAAUCUCCGCCAUCACGCACGUCUGCGCACUUCUCUGUGGGCACACUGUACUUCAAUGAACAUCUGAUUAAAAAAACAAAACGUAAGAUAAUGGUAGCUUGAAAUCUGCCCAUUAAAGCAGUCUCAUAAGCCAAACAAGUAUCCUUGGUUUCUCACAGCAGAAUUGUUGGCUGAUGACAGAGUGAUCUGUGAUGAGAUCGCUAUCAGUCCUGCCUCAUGUCACUCAUUAUCCUGACGUGUGUGCACCUCGGCUCAGAAAAGACUUACUUUCCAUUUUGUAUUAUUUACAGGCGGUUUCCAGUCAAUUUCUCUUCUUCCUCUUAGGCAUCUGGAAAGAAGAGGCAAUAGGAUUAAAGAGAUCGAGCAUACGUCCUUAAACCAACUCUUAGUUUUUCUUGUCAUCUGUUGGUUUUUCCAUUUAAAUUUGUCAGAAUUUAACUUCUGACCAAUUAAGUAAAGAUCGUUUCAGUGCAGUAAUCCUGCACACGUGCUCCCUUACAGAAGGAAAUCUGAUCAUUUUUCAGAGUGGAGCGGGAGAAAAUUAAUGUAGCAAAGGUUUGUUCUUGGCUUGGAACUCUCCUGGCCCUCAGGGCUAGGAGGAAGCAAACACAAAUCCCAGGAUGAACAGAGCUUACGUCGGUGCUGUCCUCGGUGUACACACAGCAGAGGCAAGCCCGUCAUUGGUUCACUGGGCCUCCGAGGCUCUCUACCCUGUGCACUGGCUAAGAGACUUGCUCAGAUGUGCUCAGCCAGUAGUGGCAGAUGGGACUGGACUUAUGUCUUCUGGCUCUAAGUCAGGAUCCAUCCACCAUUCGCUGGGAGACAUGACUGAUCAGAGACGAGCACACACAUGUAGAGGGGGCAUUCUAUGGUAACCAGAAAGUCUGAUCUGGGGAACUUGGGUUUCUCUACCCCAGUGUUUUGUUACUAUAAAGUCCCUCUUACAAAAGAGUUUUGAUGUUGCCAGGGGGUCUACACUACCCAUGCUCAGAAGCAAUGUCAUCUGAAAAUCCUAUUCCUUUGUCCCUAGUCCCCUGUAGAAGAGCUGUUAAACCUAGGACACUGUGACACUCUGUCCAGGUGUCCUUGUGUCCACUCAGGUAAGCCCUCAGAUAUAUCUUAAAUCUCCCCCGAAUUAUUCUGAAUCUGAGACCUUGACGAAUUUCUCCUAAAUGACUAUGAAGAGAUUUCUGUUGCUUGAAAGAGAGGAACUCCGCUUCUUGGAGGGAAGCCAGGCCCGGGGCCGGGUGGGGUGCAUGGAGGGGAGAGGAGAGGGCAGUCAGCAGGCCUGGAUGAGGUCUCCUGGCUCUCCAGCAUGCACCUUACCCGUGGCCAACAGGGUUUACCCAUUUGCUUUUCACCUUACCUUGAACUUCCAGUGCCCUUUGGAUGAGGAAAGGUCCAGUGGGACUUGAGCGAUGGGUCUGGAAGGGCACACAAGCAGGGGGAGAUGCAGCAGGUUAGAAGCCCUCCUCUCUGGCGUGGGGCUCUGCUUUGAGCUGGAAGCUGACCCGGGGUAGCCCCGGAACUGGGGAAGCAGAGACCUGAGGACGAGAGAUGCGUAUUCAGGUCUCUGCCGUGCCACCUGCCUCAUCUGGGAACUGGCUUACUACUACAGCCUGGGCCGCCCAAUCCACAGAGGGUUGUACAGAGGCAAGGAUGAGCUGGGAAUGGCCUGUGCAAAGACUGUCAGUCGAGUACAGAUAAAUCAGUGUGAGCAAAGGUGAUCGCGGUGAUGGUGAUUUCAGCCACCAGCCAGAUGUGAGGGACAAAAAGCACCAGCAGACCAUGUGCACAAAAACGUUGCAGAGAGGAGGGCUGGGAGCCACGGCACCUCCAGCCUGGCACAGCUGCCAGCACUUGGUCUUGCGCAGGGCUCCAGUGCCAGGGGCCAGGGCUGGAAUCGGUUCGAGGCAGGAAUGUGUGCCCUACUCCCUUCUUUCUCCUUCCCCUAGAAUCACCUAAACUCUUCAGUUUGGAAUAGAAUAAGGAAAGCUCCUCACGGGGAAAGUUUUGUGGGCUCGACCCUAUUAAUUUUAUAUUUAGAAUUCCAUCCAUUCGUUACUUUACUAUAUUUCACAGUUAUUUAAGUGUACAAGGUUCUUUCACAAACACCACAUCAGUAAUCCUGUAUUAUCCCCAUUUUACUGGUGAAGAAACCGAGGCUGAGAUCAGCUGAAUGAAUGAUCAUCACACUGCUAGAAACUUGAGGCAACUGGUUUCUGACUUCAAGUCCUGUGUUCCUGUAAACCCUCUUCAGUGAACUACAGACCUAAAUGAAGGUGGGAGGGAGGGGAGAGAUGGGGGAAGGGAGGAGAGAGGGGGGAGAUUAGAAAGGGAAGGGGGGAGGGAGGGAAGGAGGGGAGCAGAGAAGUACAGAAGGAGGAAAGGGAAAAAGCAAAGGAAAGAAAAAAGUCAUUCGAGAAAGAGAGCAGCGUUCACACAAUACACACCGCAAGAGUAAGAUUCAGUCUGUGGGCAGGCAGGCCCACUGUGCCCACGAAUCGUCACACGCGGACCCGCCGCUCUACCCCCAUCCCAUCCCGCUGCGGGUCCAAGCACCGCAGCCCCAUACGUUUCGACCCUUCUCGGCACGGUUGCUCUCUAAUUCAUGGCGCAGAGUCUCCAUUGAUGAGCCUCGGCCAGCAACUGGCCGCGGUCCAGGGCCCAGCGCUGGCCAGGCAGGUGUUGGGGAUGCCUCGGAGGACGCCAGCACUGACCCUCUCGCUCAGGCCUCCGAGCCCCGGGCUUUGGGGACACUUGAGGUCUAUGCGGAGCUCGGCGGACUGAAGGUCGCAGUGACCCAGCAUCCCUGAGCGCCGCCCGCACCAGGGCUCGCUUGCAUAAAGUUGCCCAGGUGAAUCAGUGCAAGUGAGUGAAGAAAUAAAGGAAUGGAGCGAGAGAGAGAGCCCGGUUCCCUUGUGCACACAGCUCACAUGCUCGGGGCGAAGCCCGUGCUGGCGAUGUGGAGUUUAACACCCAGGUGCUGCACAACCCAGGCUCACGCGCGCUCUCCGGACGAAAUGCAAGACAUUAUUAUUGGAGACAACAAUCACAACAUGUAUUCUCUUUGUCCCCGCCCCCGCUGUUUUCUCCAUCUUUGCUGUCGGACUCUGGAAUCCAACUGGACCGCUCUGCGCUCCCCGGCGCCCGCGCAGCUUCCUAACCUGGCGCCUGGGGGCGGCCCCACAGCGCGCACGCUCUGUUCCGGAACCGCUCACGGAGGGCGCCAGGGGCUGCGAGCCGGGAAGGGGACGCCCACGGCCGGCAAGGGGGCGCUGUCCCCAGAGGCCUCUGACCCUGCGGAGCAUCGUCCCGCCCUGGAGCGACGGAUUGGGAGAGGAGGCCUGAGUCACGCACGGAGUAACCCACCACUGAAGACAGGAUUCCACACUCGGGAGAAGCUGGC
Non-coding RNA from Delphinapterus leucas (beluga whale), 5326 nucleotides. Lineage: Eukaryota; Metazoa; Chordata; Mammalia; Artiodactyla; Monodontidae. The record is from RefSeq and is a predicted model, not a curated record.